Molecule: non-coding RNA, 190 nt
Filed under: Ureibacillus manganicus DSM 26584
Lineage: Bacteria; Bacillati; Bacillota; Bacilli; Caryophanales; Caryophanaceae
Description: Lysinibacillus manganicus DSM 26584 6S / SsrS RNA
Rfam family: 6S / SsrS RNA
About the family: E. coli 6S RNA was the first non coding RNA to be sequenced, but its function was unknown until recently.
Source: Rfam by way of RNAcentral
UUAAAGCUGCGUUGUACGUACGAAUAUUAAGUUUUAACCUUUAAGCUGUAAAAGGGAGUUUUAGAUCGAAGUUGGAAUGGCGAGCGUCACAUUCGUGAUUGACGAUAUACAGGAAAACUUUUGCGAACACCCACUUUGAGGAGUGGUGGUUUAAAACUUUCUAUCAAUAUUACGGCAAGGCGGCUUGCCU